RNAcentral lists this ribosomal RNA (253 nucleotides) under uncultured bacterium. Its description in RNAcentral is "partial 16S ribosomal RNA". It matches the Rfam family "Bacterial small subunit ribosomal RNA", at positions 524 to 776 of the family's 1533-position model. The record is from RNAcentral.
UACGUAGGGUGCAAGCGUUGUCCGGAAUUAUUGGGCGUAAAGAGCUCGUAGGCGGUUUGUCGCGUCUGCUGUGAAAACGCGGGGCUCAACUCCGCGCCUGCAGUGGGUACGGGCAGACUAGAGUGCAGUAGGGGAGACUGGAAUUCCUGGUGUAGCGGUGAAAUGCGCAGAUAUCAGGAGGAACACCGGUGGCGAAGGCGGGUCUCUGGGCCGUAACUGACGCUGAGGAGCGAAAGCGUGGGGAGCGAACAGG